This 764-nucleotide unclassified non-coding RNA is filed under the name Hevea brasiliensis (rubber tree). Lineage: Eukaryota; Viridiplantae; Streptophyta; Magnoliopsida; Malpighiales; Euphorbiaceae. The record is from RNAcentral.
AGUCGGUUAAGACACGAAGCUCGUAUGGGAAAAACAUUGGAUAGAGGAUAUCUUGGGGAAAACAGUAAAUGGCCUUGUCAAAUGUCAGUCUAAGGAGGUGCUGUACAUGUAUCGUGAACAAGAGUUGGAGUUUGGAACUUUGGAUCUUGGGACAGGAAAAUGUUCCAAAUUCCAUGACCUGAGAACUGCAUCUCUUAUGUGAUUGAUUCAGCAAUGCUGGCGAACAUGAACAGUAAUCAUAUUAGAAAUCUUUAGUUUUGAAGUGCAAUGAUAUUCAAGAGGAGUUGUGAAGUUGUCUCAUUCUUCCACAGGUUACUGCAGCUUUCUAGGAUCUUCGUUUUUCAUUACUGUUACUAUUAGUAAUAAUCCUUUUAAAUCUCUGAAGUAAAAGAAUCUGCAAAACUGAAUUAGUAGAAACUAAAAGAUUACCACCUAUUUGCUAUACCAUGGCUGCGUGAGAGUUCAUAUCAUGUAUCUAUUGAAUAAAUUGUGAUCAAAGUUGGCUGCUUUGUAUUAAUUGGUUGUGCUGUGGUUGGAACAAUUUAAGACAGUUGGCAUUUUUAAAAUUUCCAUAAGGGUAUGUGUCUUCAUUGAAUUUUGUGCAUAAUAUUUGUGGUUUCUUACUGCAUAAAUAUUCAGAAUAAGAAUUUGAAUUGAAGGAAAUUUUCAACUUUUAUAUGGACAUGCUAUCAUGUUCCAGUACCUGUCUGGAAUCUAAAUUGAUUUGGAUGCUGCUGAACAGAUCCAACAGAACACAACUGUAA